UCCCUGGUGGUCUAGGGGUUAGGACUCGGCACUUUCACUGCCAGAGGCCCAGGUUCGAUCCCUGGUUGGGGAA
Molecule: transfer RNA, 73 nt
Organism: Ovis aries (sheep)
Lineage: Eukaryota; Metazoa; Chordata; Mammalia; Artiodactyla; Bovidae
Rfam family: tRNA
About the family: Transfer RNA (tRNA) molecules are approximately 80 nucleotides in length.
Source: Rfam